GUCGAGGGGCAGCGGGGAGCAAGCUUGCUUGCUCUGCCGGCGACCGGCGCACGGGUGAGUAACACGUAUGCAACCUGCCCUCCGCAGGGGGAUAACCCGGAGAAAUCCGGACUAAUACCGCGUGGUACAUCUGUGGGGCAUCCCACGGGUGUUAAAAGGAAGCGAUUCCGGCGGAGGAUGGGCAUGCGGCGCAUUAGCUUGUUGGCGGGGUAACGGCCCACCAAGGCGACGAUGCGUAGGGGUUCUGAGAGGAAGGUCCCCCACACUGGUACUGAGACACGGACCAGACUCCUACGGGAGGCAGCAGUGAGGAAUAUUGGUCAAUGGGCGGGAGUCUGAACCAGCCAAGUCGCGUGAGGGAAGACGGUCCUAUGGAUUGUAAACCUCUUUAGGCGGGGAGCAAUGCCGGGCACGCGCGCCCGGAGGGAGAGUACCCGCAGAAUAAGCAUCGGCUAACUCCGUGCCAGCAGCCGCGGUAAUACGGAGGAUGCGAGCGUUAUCCGGAUUUAUUGGGUUUAAAGGGUGCGUAGGCGGAUUUUUAAGUCAGCGGUAAAAUGUCCGGGCUCAACCCGGGCCGGCCGUUGAAACUGGGGAUCUUGAGUGGGCGAGAAGUAUGCGGAAUGCGUGGUGUAGCGGUGAAAUGCAUAGAUAUCACGCAGAACUCCGAUUGCGAAGGCAGCAUACCGGCGCCCGACUGACGCUGAGGCACGAAAGCGUGGGGAUCGAACAGGAUUAGAUACCCUGGUAGUCCACGCAGUAAACGAUGAAUGCUAGUUGUCCGGU
Molecule: ribosomal RNA, 783 nt
Filed under: uncultured bacterium
Lineage: Bacteria
Description: bacterial SSU rRNA
Rfam family: Bacterial small subunit ribosomal RNA
Source: RNAcentral